GGAGGCGAUUGUUUUCUUACUAAAUUACGAGAAGUGAGGUAAGCUAAAAGAGUGAGGUAGAGCGAGGGAGGGGUCUGCAAGAUCACUUCCAGUGAAGUUCAACCACAAACUCUAGGACUGAAGGCACAGAAUGAUGCGGGGGCCACAGUCUAACAGCUCAGAGCUCUCUCACCCAUUCAGAGGAGUCUCGAGGAAAAGGUGACCUUACAUCAGUACUUCUGAAAAUUUGGAUAUAAGCCUUCUUUCUAGAUCAAUCUAUACCAACUUAUCACUGACAGCACCUUCGUUGGAUACUGGAACUUGACUUUGUCUUCUGAUUUACAAAAUUUAUAUGGUUUCUACUGGGAUAGGGAAAGUGGAAUCACUUAUUUUGGAGAAGGAAAAGAAGUAAAUUUUUUAGUGUUACGGUAGAAGAAAUGUAUUCAGUGAAUGUAGCCUCGUUCAUCUGACAACACAAGACCCUUACACAUCAAGUAAUGUCCCAUUAAUAACCGAAGAUAAGUGCAAGUAUAAUCCAAGUGGCCCAAAACACUCCACAAGAACUCCACUUUAGUGUAUUUUUUUUAUGAUUUCUAUAGUACAUACUUGAUUUCAGUUGUUUUAGGGUUUCUCUUUUGUUUUAUUUUUAUCCUCCUAUUUCAGAGUGAAUGAGAGGAAGAAAAAAGAGUUUCAUUUGUUCCAAAGAAUAACUUAUUCAAGUCAGUAGAGCGAAAUCAAAAUGCCAUUUAAAGCCUGCAAAAUGCAUGGAAAUCUCAGAUUCCAGAGACCAGUACUAUCAAUGCAAAUAUGCAGAACCAAUGAAAUCAUUUUGAGGAGAAUUAAUAGGAAAACUACACAGACUAUUUUUUUUCUGCUUUAUCUCCCCAAACACCCCCUGCACACAGUUGUAUAUCUUAGUUGCACAUCCUUCUUGUUGUGGGAUGUGGGACGCCACCUCAAUGUGGCCUGACGACCGGUGCCAUGUCCACACCCAGGAUCCGAACCUUGGGCUGCCGCAGCGGAGCGCGCAAACUUACCCACUUGGCCACGGAGUCGGCCCCCAGACUAUUUUUUUAAAUCACCAAAUUUUAGCUUGGGGAAUCCUAUUUUCAGGCAGGACAUGGCAUGAAGAUCCUGGAUAUUCUCAAUGCUGAGGACAAAUCAGCAGAAGGACCGUGAGAUUCUGCUGCUAGAGGACGUUGGAGGGGCUGUCAACAUGCUUCUUGAAGUGUCAAAAGUGAAAAGAAAACGAAAAUUGUUUAAGCCCAACAAGGAAGGAUGUAAAUACGAGUUUUUC
Molecule: long non-coding RNA, 1276 nt
Filed under: Equus caballus (horse)
Lineage: Eukaryota; Metazoa; Chordata; Mammalia; Perissodactyla; Equidae
Description: lncRNA (ENSECAG00000044699.1)
Source: RNAcentral